RNAcentral lists this ribosomal RNA (808 nucleotides) under uncultured Pelagibacteraceae bacterium. RNAcentral's name for it is "bacterial SSU rRNA". It matches the Rfam family "Bacterial small subunit ribosomal RNA", at positions 33 to 889 of the family's 1533-position model. The record is from RNAcentral. Lineage: Bacteria; Pseudomonadati; Pseudomonadota; Alphaproteobacteria; Candidatus Pelagibacterales; Candidatus Pelagibacteraceae.
ACGCUGGCGGCACGCCUAACACAUGCAAGUCGAACGAAGUAGCAAUACUUAGUGGCAGACGGGUGAGUAACAUGUAGGUAUCUACCCUUUGGCCUGGAAUAACACGAGGAAACUUGUGCUAAUACCGGAUAAGUCUUUACGGAGAAAGCUUUAUGCACCAUUGGAUGAGCCUGCACUUGAUUAGUUUGUUGGUGGGGUAAUGGCCUACCAAGACUGUGAUCAAUAGCUGAUUUGAGAGGAUGAUCAGCCACAUUGGGACUGAGACACGGCCCAAACUCCUACGGGAGGCAGCAGUGGGGAAUCUUGCACAAUGGAGGAAACUCUGAUGCAGCGAUGCCGCGUGAGUGAAGAAGGCCCUUGGGUUGUAAAGCUCUUUCGUCGGGGAAGAAAAUGACUGUACCCGAAUAAGAAGGUCCGGCUAACUUCGUGCCAGCAGCCGCGGUAAUACGAAGGGACCUAGCGUAGUUCGGAAUUACUGGGCUUAAAGAGUUCGUAGGUGGUUGAAAAAGUUGGUGGUGAAAUCCCAGAGCUUAACUCUGGAACUGCCAUCAAAACUUUUCAGCUAGAGUAUGAUAGAGGAAAGCAGAAUUUCUAGUGUAGAGGUGAAAUUCGUAGAUAUUAGAAAGAAUACCAAUUGCGAAGGCAGCUUUCUGGAUCAUUACUGACACUGAGGAACGAAAGCAUGGGUAGCGAAGAGGAUUAGAUACCCUCGUAGUCCAUGCCGUAAACGAUGUGUGUUAGACGUUGGAAAUUUAUUUUCAGUGUCGCAGCAAAAGCGAUAAACACACCGCCUGGGGAGUACGACCGC